This 387-nucleotide ribosomal RNA is filed under the name Oryzias dancena. RNAcentral describes it as "partial 12S ribosomal RNA". It matches the Rfam family "Bacterial small subunit ribosomal RNA", at positions 794 to 1384 of the family's 1533-position model. Lineage: Eukaryota; Metazoa; Chordata; Actinopteri; Beloniformes; Adrianichthyidae. The record is from RNAcentral.
GCAUAGCCGUAAACCUUGAUGAACAUUUACUUAGUCAUCCGCCCGGGUACUACGAGCACUAGCUUAAAACCCAAAGGACUUGGCGGUGCUUUAAACCCACCUAAAGGAGCCUGUUCUAGAACCGAUAACCCCCGUUAAACCUCACCCUCUCUUGUUCUUCCCGCCUAUAUACCGCCGUCGUCAGCUUACCCUGUGAAGGCUUAGUAGUAAGCAGAGUCAGUUAUACUCAAAACGUCAGGUCGAGGUGUAGCAUAUGAGAGGGGAAGAAAUGGGCUACAUUCCUUAAUUUAAGGCAUUACGGAUAAUAUGAUGAAAAGAAUAUUAGAAGGAGGAUUUAGCAGUAAGCAGAAAACAGAGAGUCCUGCUGAAACUGGCCCUAAAGCGCGC